RNAcentral lists this unclassified non-coding RNA (771 nucleotides) under Hevea brasiliensis (rubber tree). The record is from RNAcentral. Lineage: Eukaryota; Viridiplantae; Streptophyta; Magnoliopsida; Malpighiales; Euphorbiaceae.
GUUUAGGAAGGUGUGUGAUUGCUCUGCAAAACGUGGACAAGAGGCUUUUGCCAACAGCUAUGGGAGAUAAGUGGAUUAAUCUGGAGAGGCAUGUGGAGGGAGGUGAAGAGAAGAAGGAAGAGAAGUUUGCUAGCAGGCUUCAUCUGAAGGUGUUUUUGGAUGGUGUGCAUCAUUUUUUUGAUGAACCCACAUACUAGUGCAGUGAUCUCAGGGCAACAUCACCCUAGUUAUGGCCAGAUAAAAUUGGUAUAUUGGAAUUGGGAAUCUCGAAAGCUGAAGGCUUGCUUCCCAUGAAGUCGAAGGAUGGUCGUGGAACUACCGAUGCUUAUUGCGUGGCCAAAUACUGGCAGAAGUGGGUGCGGACGACUACUGUGAUAGACAGUCUAGCUCCAAAAUGGAAUGAACAAUAUUAUUGGGAUGUUUAUGAUCCAUAUACAGUUAUUACGAUUGGAAUUUUUGAUAAUAGUUAUUUAGGAGCAGAUGACAACAUUAAUGGAGGUACAAAAGAUCCAAGAAUUGGCAAGGUAAGGAUUCGUCUGUCUACCCUUGAAACCGAUAGGAUAUACACGCACUCUUAUCCGCUCAUAGUCCUGCAAUCUAAUGGGUUGAGGAAAAUGGGAGAACUUCAUUUGGCUGUAAAAUUUACUUGUACCUCCUUGCUUAAUUUGUUAUAUACAUAUACACAGCCUUUGCUUCCCAGAAUGCUUACAUUAGCCCACUAUCAGUGUAUCAGCGAGACAGUGUAAGGCACCAAGCUAUUUAAGUUGUCUG